UUGAAACAAUCUCUAUUGAACCAGGCUCCAAACCAAGUUCACUGGAGUUUGUUUCAAUA
This 59-nucleotide microRNA precursor is filed under the name Canis lupus familiaris (dog). RNAcentral describes it as "Cfa-Mir-653_pre stem-loop". Lineage: Eukaryota; Metazoa; Chordata; Mammalia; Carnivora; Canidae. The record is from RNAcentral.